UUAACUUAAACUUGAGCUCUCCAUCGGGCGCGUACAUAAACGUGACCUUAUAUUUUAGCGGCUUGUGGUGAUAUUCCACUUGAAAGAUACGACAAAGAGAUGGCAAGAGGCAAGAGAGAUGCGCAACAUUUUAUAAGCCAACGCACCUUGGCAAGUAGCACUUGCAUUUCGAGAUCCGCGAAUCGCCUACCCAAGCACAUCCGUGCCCCGUAACCGUAUGGUAACGACGCGAACGGAUGUAACUUCUCGUUACUGCCUUCCUUGAGCCACCUCGCAGGUAGUUUCAGUUGCCGAAGAUUACGUGUCGAGCAUGAUGAGAUUCUUAUUAUGCGGAACGGAUGUGUCGUGAAUGGUGAAAUAUCAUGCCGGAGAAGCAACGUACUCCUUUUGGAAUUUUGUAGCCACAGAUGAUGGUAUCGUUCUGUAGCGUUCUGCCGU
This is a long non-coding RNA of Harpegnathos saltator (Jerdon's jumping ant), 438 nucleotides long. RefSeq lists it as uncharacterized. NCBI's taxonomy places the organism in Eukaryota, Metazoa, Arthropoda, Insecta, Hymenoptera, Formicidae. The transcript is spliced from 3 exons. The record is from RefSeq and is a predicted model, not a curated record.